UCGAGAAUUUUUCUCAAUGGGCGAAAGCCUGAAGGAGCGACGCCGCGUGGGGGAUGAAUGGCUUCGGCCCGUAAACCCCUGUCAUUUGCGAACAAACCUCGUGAUUUAACAGAUGACGAGCUGAUUGUAGCGAAAGAGGAAGGGACGGCUAACUCUGUGCCAGCAGCCGCGGUAAUACAGAGGUCCCAAGCGUUGUUCGGAUUCACUGGGCGUAAAGGGUGCGUAGGUGGUUGGGUAAGUCUGAUGUGAAAUCUCCGGGCCUAACCCGGAAACUGCAUCGGAUACUAUUCGACUGGAGGGUUGGAGGGGGGACUGGAAUACUUGGUGUAGCAGUGAAAUGCGUAGAUAUCAAGUGGAACACCAGUGGCGAAGGCGAGUCCCUGGACAACUCCUGACACUGAGGCACGAAAGCUAGGGGAGCAAACAGGAUUAGAUACCCCAGUAGUCCCUGAGCGGGCUGGCAAGGCGCAU
RNAcentral lists this ribosomal RNA (471 nucleotides) under uncultured bacterium. RNAcentral describes it as "bacterial SSU rRNA". It matches the Rfam family "Bacterial small subunit ribosomal RNA", at positions 355 to 825 of the family's 1533-position model. The record is from RNAcentral.